CUAAAAAUAAGGCAAAAGCAACUUAAACCAAAUAGGCCCUUAUAAUUUGGGAAGGAGGGAGUAGUUUAGAAUUAAAGAACGGUGGGGUCAAAAGUCUUGCGUUGUUCUCGAGUCGCGCUGUUGCGUUGCGAUGGGGGUCAAGCCUCGAAGUCUGAACCCGCAAUUAUGGACGUCGCCACCUCGCUCUUCCCCGUUUGCAGAGCUCAGACUUUGAAGAUGCGAGACGGAAAGGGAGAACGCCUUUUCUCCCUUUUAUUUUCCUUUGCUGGAAUCCUGAAUCGACGAACACGACGGGAACCCCGAACGCGUCACGGACAACGCGUCCGUCCGUCCGUCCCUCCUCGUCGCCGUCGGUUUGGCGUCGCCGGUUGGCGGUGUGAACCAAGACCGAGGCAGGCGGCUAGGCGCUGACCGCGUGGAGUGCGGGGCCCGCGUCGACGCACACGCGCACGCCGUUGCCGUUGCCGUUGCCGUGGCUGCUACCCGCCCGCCGCCUCGCGUUCUCCUCGUCGGGACCGGACGCGUACGGCACACGCUGCGACUGACUGACCUGCUGGCUGGCUGCAGGAAGCAGAAGCCCAAGCCCACACGCCCUCACACUGUCUCUUGUCUCUUCGACUCUUCCAUGCUUUUUGCUAUGCUCCCGUUGGCUCGGAACCUGAUAUAAAAUUGUGAAAGGGAUAUUAUUAUGAGAGAAAUAAACAAACAAGUGUGAACGGAAGAAACAAACCGAGACCAUGUUUAUUUCACUCCAAAAUUCCAACUUUGGACUAUGCAAAAAGAAGAUUCCCCAUCACAUCAAACUUGUGGUACAUGCAUGGAGUACUGAAUAUAGACGAAAUUAAAAAUUAAUUGCACAGUUUUGUUGUACUUUGCGAGACGAAUCUUUUGAGCCUAAUUAGUCAAUAUUUGGACAAUAAUUCACAAAUACAAACGAAACGCUACAGUAUUGCUACAGUGUUAGGCAACUAAACAAGACCCGAGUCCUACUGUGCAGAAACAAACAGAGAGGGAUACAACGCCAGCUCAGCAGCUUCGUCCCAGUGUAUCAAACUUUUGCGAUCUGGUUCUUCAGAGCCUGGACGGUGCUUAGUGCCACCCACUUUGCUGUUCUGCGAUCAACGCCGCAAGGAAAGUACAGACACCCGUGAUGGCAGGCUAUCAUACAACCACCACUAAAAACCAAUAUGAAAUGCGCAACUGCGCCCACUAAGCAAGUAGUAAGCACCAUCAACAUAAUCACGACUAAUAACUAGAAUAAGACUACACACCAAAAAGAAGAAAACAGAGAGAUUUUUAGCAUCACUACCUGAAUAAAUUUGAUUGAUAUGCCAUCUUCACAGGAUCAGACAUUCAGACAUCUUAACGGUACCAGAAAUCACACGCUGUCCAGUACACUCUUCGAUCGACUCUUGAAUUCCGGUCAGCAAGAAGAGCCAAGGUCCAUCACGCACCUGUGGAAGAACCGGGGCCAUGGAAGGCAGCUGCGAGCGUACGCGUCACUGCAUCAGCAGCAAGGAUUAAGCACAAAGUAAACGCCUCGGGCCAAGGCGAAGUCGACGAAUUGAAUCAGACGACCAAGAAUCGGGGCGCCAGGUCACCCUCACCCACCACCUUCCAUUAACCUGCGCCUUUUUCUUAUUUUCUUGCCACCACUUGGGCCUUUCAUUUUCCAAGCAAUGUCCACACCUUGACCGCGACGCCGAUGAUUGCUCUAAAGUAUUGUACGCGCCUCCCGGAAAUGAUGCUCUCCGUGUACUGAAUCUUGCAGAUCUUCAGUUUUUUCUAAAAAUUCGCUCCUUUUCCUGUUCACCAAAAAGGGUGCAUCAUCCUACAAAAUAAAUAGUGCAUCACAGACACAGAGUGAUCCUUUGUCAGUACUAAUACUAUGGUUAAGACAACAGGUUUGUUAAGUGAAGCUGGUAGGACAAGUGAUGGCAGAUCAUGUGAUCAGGUAAAAUAAGGCAGGCUGUGCGUUAUGUGUGAACAUGGUAGGACAAGUGACGUCACUAUAUCAGAUCAGGCAAAUCACGGCAGUGAUUCAACAAGGAUUGAUUCAAGGAUGACUAGAAAAAGCAAAUAUUUCGUAGGGUCAGUUGGACUUCUUUUAUGGAUUAUAGCAGGUAGCCACCAGUGAAGCAUACAAGUGUGAACAACAAGCUGCUGCUUUGUCUAUUCUAUACUGCAUUAAAAACGUACAAUGAUAAUGAGGAUUCUCCUAUAGUAGCAUAUGAUCCUUGACUUCAUAUUUUCUUUGUAGUGACCACGACUAGAAGGGAUCAGCAAGAAGGAGGCAGGAGCCACCUCCUUCUUCUACCUUAUGCUCUUCCCUGAUUAGACUCAGAACAUUGGUAUCUCAUCUAGACAGGAAACAAGUUAAGCGUCUGGUUUCCAUGCUACUUUCAACAGGAAGCCAUGCAGCCACUCCAAUUUCCAUACAAGAACUACAGCAGUAGGUUACCCAUACCUUCCCUUGGCUUUGCUGCUCUGCUGCUGAUCUCUUUGGCCACCCUCACCAGCUCUUGCACAGAGCAGGAGAAGAACUCCCUCCUCCAGUUCGUCUCUGGGCUCUCACAGGAUGCUG
RNAcentral lists this long non-coding RNA (2584 nucleotides) under Setaria italica (foxtail millet). RNAcentral describes it as "long non-coding RNA (SITA_LNC007475)". Lineage: Eukaryota; Viridiplantae; Streptophyta; Magnoliopsida; Poales; Poaceae. The record is from RNAcentral.